UCGACUUUAAAAAUCGUGAGGGUUCAAGUCCCUCUAUCCCCAAUAAAAA
This 49-nucleotide transfer RNA is filed under the name Cremastosperma longicuspe. Its description in RNAcentral is "partial tRNA-Leu". Lineage: Eukaryota; Viridiplantae; Streptophyta; Magnoliopsida; Magnoliales; Annonaceae. The record is from RNAcentral.